GUUCCAAACUGUUUCAUAGUCCCAAAUUGUUCCAAUAACAGAGAAGUUCUGCCGGCGACCUGCGCAAGGAUGACACGCAAAUUCGUGAAGCGUUCCAUAUUUUU
Molecule: small nuclear RNA, 104 nt
Filed under: Lottia gigantea (owl limpet)
Lineage: Eukaryota; Metazoa; Mollusca; Gastropoda; Lottiidae
Source: RNAcentral